AUAAUUGGAAUAGGGGUUUUCAAGGGUGCGAGAGAAAAUGGAUACACACCAAAGAAAAACACGAUUGCAAGAUAUGUGGUACGAAUGUCAUCCUGGGCAUUCGGUUUACCCAAACCGAACCAAACGGUUCUUUGGUUUUUGUUAAAAUUUGGUACCCGGUAAAUAGGAACCGAUCAGUUCCUCGUAGAAAACAAGACUGGGUAGAUUCAGGUUUGGUUAAUUCGGUUUGAUCUUGGUUUCUAAUAAAAUUAACUGAUGUACAACGAACAAAAUCUAGAAAUCGCAAAGAGUGGGAGAUCUGGGGGAAGCACGGUUGCCACCGGAAGCUGGCCGCCUGCGCCCGCGCUGCCUGAGUGCUGC
This 360-nucleotide long non-coding RNA is filed under the name Panicum hallii. Its description in RNAcentral is "long non-coding RNA (PHAL_LNC000047)". The record is from RNAcentral. Lineage: Eukaryota; Viridiplantae; Streptophyta; Magnoliopsida; Poales; Poaceae.